AUUGCUAUAAUGAUCUGUAACAAUAAGGAUACCAAUUGAUCAAUUGGUUUCCAUGACAUGCUUUUUUACACUUGGCAUCUGUGCUCA
This is a non-coding RNA of Triticum urartu, 87 nucleotides long. NCBI's taxonomy places the organism in Eukaryota, Viridiplantae, Streptophyta, Magnoliopsida, Poales, Poaceae. The record is from Rfam.